RNAcentral lists this ribosomal RNA (915 nucleotides) under uncultured archaeon. Its description in RNAcentral is "bacterial SSU rRNA". It matches the Rfam family "Archaeal small subunit ribosomal RNA", at positions 1 to 922 of the family's 1478-position model. The record is from RNAcentral.
UCCGGUUGAUCCCGCCGGAGGUCACCGCUAUUGGGAUUCGACUAAGCCAUGCGAGUCGAGAGGGUUCGGCCCUCGGCUGACGGCUCAGUAACACGUGGAUAAUCUGCCCUAAGGUGGAGGAUAACCUCGGGAAACUGAGAAUAAUACUCCAUAGAUCUUUGAGGCUGGAAUGCGCUUAGAUUGAAAGCUUCGGCGCCUAAGGAUGAGUCUGCGGACUAUCAGGUAGUAGUCAGGGUAAGGACCUGACUAGCCUACGACGGAUACGGGUUGUGAGAGCAAUAACCCGGAGAUGAUAUCUGAGACACGAUAUCAGGCCCUACGGGGCGCAGCAGGCGCGAAAACUUCACAAUGCGCGAAAGCGCGAUGAGGGGAUCCCAAGUGCUUGCACGUAAGUGUAAGCUGUUUUUCUGUCUAAAAAGCAGAGAGAGUAAGGGCUGGGUAAGACGGGUGCCAGCCGCCGCGGUAAUACCUGCAGCUCAAGUGGUGGCCGCUAUUAUUGGGCCUAAAACGUCCGUAGCCGGCUGAGUAAAUGCCUGGGUAAAUCGUGUGGCUUAACCAUACGAAUUCCGGGUAGACUGCUCAGCUUGGGACCGGAAGAAGUUAGAGGUACUCCUGGGGUAGGGGUGAAAUCCUGUAAUCCUGGGGGGACCACCAGUGGCGAAGGCGUCUAACUAGGACGGGUCUGACGGUGAGGGACGAAGCCCUGGGGCGCAAACCGGAUUAGAUACCCGGGUAGUCCUGGCUGUAAACGAUGCGUGCUAGGUGUUGGUAUGGCUAUGAGCCGUAUCAGUGCCGUAGGGAAACCGUUAAGCGCGCCGCCUGGGGAGUACGGUCGCAAGACUGAAACUUAAAGGAAUUGGCGGGGGAGCCCCCCAAGGGGUGAAGCUUGCGGUUCAAUUGGAGUGCAACGCCGGG